AAACCCCGUAAAUGUACCCCUUGGCCAAAACACUUCCUUCCCUUGUUCAGAGUCAUGUUAAUAUUAUUAAACUGUGUGGAAAAGGUAAGUUUGGGGUAAAAACCCCAAGAGUUCCAAAAGCCCAGGUACAUGCGAAAAAAAAGAAAAAAAAGUAGAAAACCAUCGAGAGAAAAAAAUAUAUAAAUAAACUCGAAGGUUCAAAAGAAGCACGAGCCAAAGAAGGGAACUCAGUUGAAAAAUAGAAGAAAAAAAAGAGAAAUCGAG
Molecule: long non-coding RNA, 264 nt
Filed under: Lathyrus oleraceus (garden pea)
Lineage: Eukaryota; Viridiplantae; Streptophyta; Magnoliopsida; Fabales; Fabaceae
Description: Pisum sativum (pea) long non-coding RNA (PSAT_LNC030963)
Source: RNAcentral